GUGCUCACUUCAGUGGUACAUAUACUAAAAUUGGACCAAUACAGAGAAGAUUAGCAUGGCCCCUGCACAAGGGUGACAUGCAGAUUCGUUAAGUGUUUUAUAUUUUU
Molecule: small nuclear RNA, 107 nt
Organism: Homo sapiens (human)
Lineage: Eukaryota; Metazoa; Chordata; Mammalia; Primates; Hominidae
Source: Ensembl